GGAGACAUCAAGAAAUCCGGCGAGCUUGGUAAAAUGUUUGACCUCCAUCUUCUUGAUUCCCCAACUUCCGGCCCUCCUCCUUCUAAACCCUCUCGUCCUUCCUCUUCUUCUCAGCACAACAGUGGAUCGGUGCGAUCCGGCCCUAAUUCCGGACCUGUUACUAAGCACUCUAAUUCCGGUCCAAUCUCCAAGAAAUCUUCCGGUCCGAUUUCCCUC
RNAcentral lists this unclassified non-coding RNA (216 nucleotides) under Hevea brasiliensis (rubber tree). The record is from RNAcentral. Lineage: Eukaryota; Viridiplantae; Streptophyta; Magnoliopsida; Malpighiales; Euphorbiaceae.